This 506-nucleotide unclassified non-coding RNA is filed under the name uncultured Glomus. Its description in RNAcentral is "SSU rRNA". It matches the Rfam family "Eukaryotic small subunit ribosomal RNA", at positions 569 to 1078 of the family's 1831-position model. The record is from RNAcentral. Lineage: Eukaryota; Fungi; Glomeromycota; Glomeromycetes; Glomerales; Glomeraceae.
AGCAGCCGCGGUAAUUCCAGCUCCAAUAGCGUAUAUUAAAGUUGUUGCAGUUAAAAAGCUCGUAGUUGAAUUUCGGGGUUAGCAGGUCGGUCGUGCCAUCGGUAUGAACUGGUCUCGCUGAUCCCUCCCUCUUGACGAACUGUGAUGCCAUUAAUUUGGUGUCGCAGGGAAUCAGGACUGUUACUUUGAAAAAUUAGAGUGUUUAAAGCAGGCUCACGCUUGAAUACAUUAGCAUGGAAUAAUGAAAUAGGACGUUUGAUCCUAUUUUGUUGGCUUCUAGGAUUGACGUAAUGAUUAAUAGGGAUAGUUGGGGGCAUUAGUAUUCAAUUGUCAGAGGUGAAAUUCUUGGAUUUAUUGAAGACUAACUACUGCGAAAGCAUUUGCCAAGGAUGUUUUCAUUAAUCAAGAACGAAAGUUAGGGGAUCGAAGACGAUCAGAUACCGUCGUAGUCUUAACCAUAAACUAUGCCGACUAGGGAUCGGAUGAUGUUAAUUUUUAAUGACUAC